This 145-nucleotide non-coding RNA is filed under the name human gut metagenome. The record is from RNAcentral.
AAGAAGCAAUAGCGAAAUCGUGGCCUGACGGACAGAAAUCCGAUAGGAAGGCGUAUCAAGUGGACAAGCUGGCCAAAGACAGUGAAGUUCCCAAAGGCAACCGUAACCUUGAUGCGUAAAUUAGGCGGGUAAACGAGGAAAGAUG